RNAcentral lists this ribosomal RNA (427 nucleotides) under uncultured bacterium. RNAcentral's name for it is "partial 16S ribosomal RNA". It matches the Rfam family "Bacterial small subunit ribosomal RNA", at positions 355 to 774 of the family's 1533-position model. The record is from RNAcentral.
UGGGGAAUAUUGCACAAUGGGCGCAAGCCUGAUGCAGCCAUGCCGCGUGUAUGAAGAAGGCCUUCGGGUUGUAAAGUACUUUCAGCGAGGAGGAAGGCGUUGUGGUUAAUAACCGCAGCGAUUGACGUUACUCGCAGAAGAAGCACCGGCUAACUCCGUGCCAGCAGCCGCGGUAAUACGGAGGGUGCAAGCGUUAAGCGGAAUUACUGGGCGUAAAGCGCACGCAGGCGGUCUGUCAAGUCGGAUGUGAAAUCCCCGGGCUCAACCUGGGAACUGCAUCCGAAACUGGCAGGCUAGAGUCUUGUAGAGGGGGGUAGAAUUCCAGGUGUAGCGGUGAAAUGCGUAGAGAUCUGGAGGAAUACCGGUGGCGAAGGCGGCCCCCUGGACAAAGACUGACGCUCAGGUGCGAAAGCGUGGGGAGCAAACA